AUUUUUGACAAUGGGGGCAACCCUGAUCCAGCCAUCCCGCGUGUGCGAUGAAGGCCUNNNGGUUGNACAGCACUUUUGGCAGGNAAGNAAAGGCGCCGGAUAAUACCUGGCGCCGCUGACGGUACCUGCAGAAUAAGCACCGGCUAACUACGUGCCAGCAGCCGCGGUAAUACGUAGGGUGCAAGCGUUAAUCGGAAUUACUGGGCGUAAAGCGUGCGCAGGCGGUUCGGAAAGAAAGAUGUGAAAUCCCAGGGCUUAACCUUGGAACUGCAUUUUUAACUGCCGGGCUAGAGUAUGUCAGAGGGGGGUAGAAUUCCACGUGUAGCAGUGAAAUGCGUAGAGAUGUGGAGGAAUACCGAUGGCGAAGGCAGCCCCCUGGGAUAAUACUGACGCUCAUGCACGAAAGCGUGGGGAGCAAACAG
Molecule: ribosomal RNA, 422 nt
Filed under: uncultured bacterium
Lineage: Bacteria
Description: partial 16S ribosomal RNA
Rfam family: Bacterial small subunit ribosomal RNA
Source: RNAcentral